UAAAAUGUUCGAAAUUUGCUCCGUUUUUUUCUAAACGCAAUUCCAGUCGACGACUCACUUCUCCAUAGGUUGCUGCCGAAAUUCGUUCUUUUGUUAAUUGUCUGCACGCCGCCGUUAUUUUAUUUUUUAAAUCCCGUAAGUUUGCUGGUGGUUCUGCACAAACAACAGUCUUCGAAUGACCCCAUGAAAAAAAGUGUAAUGGUGUUAGAUCAGGUGACCGCGGGGGCCGUUCCGCCGGCCCGUGAGUUCCCCAUCCACCGAUUUCCAAACAUUUCGUUUGACUGUCGUCUUACAACAAGGAGCGUUACGAGCGGGUGCUCCGUCCUGUUGAAAAAACAAGUUUCGACGCAGCGAUAAAGGGACACAUCUUCCAACAUCGCCGGCGGCAAAGUUAAGAAAUCCGAAUAACGUCUCCCAUUAAGAGUACCGUCGUAAAAACGCGGACCUAUCAAAUUUCCUCCUAAUAAUCCGCACCGCGCAUUUGUGCCCCGUACUGUUUGACGGUUUGUAUCGACCGCCCCCCAAUGCGGGAUUUCCGUUUGACCAAUAACGGUUAUUAUGCUUAUUUAAAACGCCAUUAUCGGUAAACUCCGAUCCAUCGGUCCGCAAAACGUAAUUUAAAAACAAUGUCCGUCGUUAUUUGUACGUGCUGUCAUCCGCGCAACAAAUGUCAAUCCACGUUCGUCAUCACCUCCGCGUAAACGCUGAACUGGAUCGGCCCCAUAAGGACGUAACUUGUAUUUUUUUUUUGAAUAUUUCGCGUACCUUUGUUUUUGAAAAGCCGAAUUCUCUAGCGACGUGUCUUAAAGACGAGCGAGGACGUUAAUCGAACGUCGUGCGCAAUUACUUCGUUUUCCCGACCGUCGUCAUAUUCGGUUCCAUAUUGCGUAGUGGUCGUCUCUGUGAAAUCUCUUAUCGGAAAAGUCCCGUAAGUUCGUGAAUUAUUAACCGAUGUUAAAAAAAAAAAAUUACGCGGUGGACCACGUCUUUCGGGAUAUCGAUUUGCAUAAACCCUUGCAGUCUCCCGACAACGUUUAUUACACUAGCCGUGAAUUAAAAUCGUGUCGACUUUUUCACUGUCGUUUAACAUUUUAAAGAAGAAAAAACGAAAAAUCUCUCAAAGUGUCGUGUUGAAAGUUAUUAGUGCCGUCGAUGAAC
This is a non-coding RNA of Cinara cedri, 1158 nucleotides long. Lineage: Eukaryota; Metazoa; Arthropoda; Insecta; Hemiptera; Aphididae. The record is from the annotation of a GenBank genome assembly.